This 77-nucleotide transfer RNA is filed under the name Chamaesiphon minutus PCC 6605. RNAcentral describes it as "tRNA-Pro". It matches the Rfam family "tRNA". From Rfam's summary of the family: Transfer RNA (tRNA) molecules are approximately 80 nucleotides in length. The record is from RNAcentral. Lineage: Bacteria; Bacillati; Cyanobacteriota; Cyanophyceae; Gomontiellales; Chamaesiphonaceae.
CGGGAUGUAGCGCAGCUUGGUAGCGCACUGCUUUCGGGAAGCAGGGGUCGGAGGUUCAAAUCCUCUCAUCCCGACUA